GACAGAGGGUGCAAACGUUGUUCGGAAUUACUGGGCGUAAAGCGCGUGUAGGCUGCUCUGCAAGUCGGAUGUGAAAGCCCUGGGCUCAACCUAGGAAGUGCAUUCGAAACUGCAGAGCUGGAGUCCUGGAGAGGAAGGCGGAAUUCUCGGUGUAGAGGUGAAAUUCGUAGAUAUCGAGAGGAACACCGGUGGCGAAGGCGGCAUCCUGGACUGGUCCUGACACUCAUGAGCGAAAGCGUGGGGGAGCGAUCCGG
This 254-nucleotide ribosomal RNA is filed under the name uncultured bacterium. RNAcentral's name for it is "partial 16S ribosomal RNA". It matches the Rfam family "Bacterial small subunit ribosomal RNA", at positions 524 to 776 of the family's 1533-position model. The record is from RNAcentral.